GAGUUUGAUCAUGGCUCAGAUUGAACGCUGGCGGCAUGCCUUACACAUGCAAGUCGAACGGCAGCACGGGAGCUUGCUCCUGGUGGCGAGUGGCGAACGGGUGAGUAAUGCAUCGGAACGUAUCCUGGAGUGGGGAAUAACGUAGCGAAAGUUACGCUAAUACCGCAUAUUCUGUGAGCAGGAAAGCGGGGGACCUUCGGGCCUCGCGCUCUUGGAGCGGCCGAUGUCGGAUUAGCUAGUUGGUGAGGUAAAGGCUCACCAAGGCGACGAUCCGUAGCAGGUCUGAGAGGAUGAUCUGCCACACUGGAACUGAGACACGGUCCAGACUCCUACGGGAGGCAGCAGUGGGGAAUUUUGGACAAGUGGGGGCAACCCUGAUCCAGCCAUGCCGCGUGAGUGAAGAAGGCCUCGGUUGUAAG
RNAcentral lists this ribosomal RNA (419 nucleotides) under bacterium enrichment culture clone ALO1_GLFRUDD03GJ1GC. RNAcentral's name for it is "bacterial SSU rRNA". It matches the Rfam family "Bacterial small subunit ribosomal RNA", at positions 9 to 429 of the family's 1533-position model. The record is from RNAcentral.